AAAAAUAAAUAAAUAAAUAAACACAUGGAUUCUUGUUUUUGCUUGUUUUGUCAAAAAAGCAAGUUGAUAAACAGGCAACUUUUCAGGCGAGUAUUAUCCACGCGCCAAUUAUAGCCUGCAUAAUGACGUGAAUGUGUUGAAAAAUAUGAAUUCCUAUCUGACAUGACACAUUGCAGAGACAUUAUUUUAUUUUCUUCUUACUGUUACUGUGAACAAUGACAUUACUGAGAAAUGAUUGGCAUCAGCAGAGCCUCUCUGCCUGCCUAGUCCUGAAGCUACAUAAAAUGCCCAUUUCCAGAUACCUACAAUUUGAAGCAAGCAACAAAGUUGGAAAUCAGCCCUAAAAAGAUCCAGCAAUUUUAGCAUUUCCCCCAGGCUAAUAGCUCCACGUUGGAUUUCUCAGUUUUAACAACCGGACUGUCCCUAAACACAGUGUCUUUGCAACUAAUAGAUCUUCACCCCAUUAAUAUGAAAGGCACAUGCAGGCUUAAGGAAGAGUCCAGGCAAGAACCCCCACAAAAGAUAACAGAAAAAUUCCAACUCCUUCAAACAUUGGAUCCCAUCAUAUCUCUCCCCUAGGGGGCCACAGGGGCCCCAAAGGUCACCAAUUCACAUGCUAAGAACGGAACAAGACCCCUUUUCUUCCUUAAAGGCUAAAUAUGAGGAAUGCAGUUUGACAUUUGUUGCCACAAAAAAGAGUCCAUGCCCAUUUGCUAUUCUAUAUUGCUACCAAAGCUGUGACUGUGGCAAUGAAAUGGUAGACUUUUAAUCCCUCCUUCAAACGUAAGUACAGGGCACUGGGAGAGCACCUAAUAAUUGCUAGAAGUAUUAGGUAGGACCACAAUACAUUCGCCUCUCCCAGAUGAGUGUGAAUCCACCAUAUGAAAUUUACAAUACAUGUGAGGAGGAGGGAACUUGGCAAGUUCCUGCCUAAUAAUUUAAAUUUCUCGCUAACACAUAGCUAUGCAAGAAUCAAGAACAACCUUAUCCUAAGUCAAAAUACACACAGAAGUAGACACAUUAGCCAAGAGGAAUAAAUGACAUGUGGGUAUAGGAUAGGUUUCUGACAGAAUGACCAUCACGCGCCAACCAUGGUAAAAAACUAUUGCAAGAAAUAUCAUUGCACAUUGCCUCGACAUUAUUGGUGCAUCUCAAGAAAGCGCUUGAAAAGAAAGGAAUUAUGCUGGUAAUUACCAAUUA
Molecule: unclassified non-coding RNA, 1200 nt
Filed under: Hevea brasiliensis (rubber tree)
Lineage: Eukaryota; Viridiplantae; Streptophyta; Magnoliopsida; Malpighiales; Euphorbiaceae
Source: RNAcentral